CAGAUGGAAUAUAACCGCGCUGCCGCCUGCUGAUGAUAGCGGUCGGCGGUGAGAGAAAGUCCGGGCUCCUUCGGAAAGAAUGCCGGGUAACAACCGGGCACAAUCUGGCAGCUGUAGAACUGCUUGCAGUACUGCAUAGCCCAGUGCGUGACAGACAGUGCAACAGAAAUUGAACCGCCCGCCGCAAGGCGAGUAAGGGUGAAAAGGCAGUGUAAGAGACUACCGGUCAUGUCGGUAACGGCUGACGCUUGUAAACCUCAUUCGGAGCAAGAUUAAGCAGCAGUUUUGUUUUUCCGAGCUUAAACUGCGGGUAAAUCGCUGGAGCUGAAUGGUAACAUUCAGUGCGGAUAGAUGGUUAGUACCGCUUCUCACUUUUGGGGGAUGCGGGAGACAGAACCCGGCUUAUUGUUCCGUCUGUUUU
This 421-nucleotide RNase P RNA is filed under the name Treponema bryantii. RNAcentral's name for it is "Bacterial RNase P class A". It matches the Rfam family "Bacterial RNase P class A". Rfam says of the family: Ribonuclease P (RNase P) is a ubiquitous endoribonuclease, found in archaea, bacteria and eukarya as well as chloroplasts and mitochondria. Its best characterised activity is the generation of mature 5'-ends of tRNAs by cleaving the 5'-leader elements of precursor-tRNAs. Lineage: Bacteria; Pseudomonadati; Spirochaetota; Spirochaetia; Treponematales; Treponemataceae. The record is from RNAcentral.